GCGGAUAUGGCGGAAUUGGCAGACGCGUUGGUUUUAGGCACCAAUGAAGAAAUUCGUGGGGGUUCAAGUCCCUCUAUCCGUA
Molecule: transfer RNA, 82 nt
Filed under: Chloropicon roscoffensis
Lineage: Eukaryota; Viridiplantae; Chlorophyta; Chloropicophyceae; Chloropicales; Chloropicaceae
Also listed under: 1 other name
Description: tRNA-Leu
Rfam family: tRNA
About the family: Transfer RNA (tRNA) molecules are approximately 80 nucleotides in length. Their secondary structure includes four short double-helical elements and three loops (D, anti-codon, and T loops). Further hydrogen bonds mediate the characteristic L-shaped molecular structure. tRNAs have two regions of fundamental functional importance: the anti-codon, which is responsible for specific mRNA codon recognition, and the 3' end, to which the tRNAs corresponding amino acid is attached (by aminoacyl-tRNA synthetases). tRNAs cope with the degeneracy of the genetic code in two manners: having more than one tRNA (with a specific anti-codon) for a particular amino acid; and 'wobble' base-pairing, i.e. permitting non-standard base-pairing at the 3rd anti-codon position.
Source: RNAcentral